Molecule: RNase P RNA, 337 nt
Filed under: Spirochaetes bacterium GWF1_49_6
Lineage: Bacteria; Pseudomonadati; Spirochaetota
Description: RNase P RNA component class A
Rfam family: Bacterial RNase P class A
About the family: Ribonuclease P (RNase P) is a ubiquitous endoribonuclease, found in archaea, bacteria and eukarya as well as chloroplasts and mitochondria. Its best characterised activity is the generation of mature 5'-ends of tRNAs by cleaving the 5'-leader elements of precursor-tRNAs.
Source: RNAcentral
UAAGCAGGCUGUGGGAACACCCUAACAAGCUUCGGCUUGGAACGGGAGGAAAGUCCGGGCAUGAAAAAGCAAAGAGCCGGCGAAUAACCGGGAGCGAAAGCUACGGAUAGUGCAACAGAAAACAUACCGCCGCAAGGUAAGGGUGAAAUGGCGGGGUAAGAGCCCACCGCGGAAUGCUUAAGUAUUCCGGCAAUGUAAACCCCUCUUCAUGCAAGGGCAAGCAGUACGUUUCCGUCGCUUUACGGUUCGCGUACGGGUAGCCUGCGGGACCGCCGCAAAAACGGCGGCUAGAUGGAUGUCCCAAUAACAAAACCCGGCUUACCAGCCUGCUUCUUUU